CCCUUAGACGUCCUGGGCCGCACGCGUGCUACACUGAUACGUACAACAAGGUAUAUGCAUUCAUGCAUCGAUGCUGCUCCGAAAUAGACACAGCUAAAUCUUCUAAAAUACGUAUCGUGCUGCGGAUAGAUCGUUGAAAUUAUGGAUCUUGAAGGUGGAAUUCCUAGUAAGCGCGGGUCAUCAACCCGCGUUGAUUACGUCCCUGCCCUUUGUACACACCGCCCGUCGCUCCUACCAAUUUCGAGUGGCUCGGUGAACCUCUUUGGACUGUCGAGCAAUCGCGAAAUUAGAGUGAACCUGGUCACUUAGAGGAAGGAGAANUCGUAACA
This 329-nucleotide ribosomal RNA is filed under the name uncultured eukaryote. Its description in RNAcentral is "partial 18S ribosomal RNA". It matches the Rfam family "Eukaryotic small subunit ribosomal RNA", at positions 1470 to 1796 of the family's 1831-position model. The record is from RNAcentral.